UCUCUAAUUUCCUCAACUUGGCAGACCAACCCCAGCCAUAUAUAAUAUAUACUAAAAAUCAGCAUGUUGCAUGUAUCGUGAUGAUGUAUCAGAUACAUCCAGUUGUUUUCCUAACAGUGCAUGAACAAUACUUCUCCUAAAACGGUGCAUGUAUGGGCAAUAUUUAAUCUCUAGAGCCAACUGGAAAGAGCUAUACGCCUAUAUGCCUGCACACACUAGGGCUAAGCCUAGAAGCCUAGAAGCCUAGAAGCCUAGAAGCUAUAGAGUAUGGUGCCUCAAUAGUAAUACCCAACAUACCCAUUUCCCUUUCAAAUGACAACAGCCCGAUCAAAGCAUACAAUUAUAUAUACGCAUAUCAUAUGAAACCCUAGUUCUAGCUAGCAGCCUUCUGGUAUGGGCUGCACUGCAGUGCACAAAGCUGAAUGGUUCUGAUAACAUGCUAGACAUGGUGAUGGUGUACAUAUAAUUUAUCUGUAAAUCUGAUACAUAUAUAUAUCCUGAACAUAAGGUAACAGCACAUUUGAGAGUGAACCAGGCUAGGCGCGCAGAGAGAGAGAGAGAGAGAGAGAGAGUAUGAAUGAAUGAAAUGGAACCCACUGUUUUUGGAUAUAGUGGUAAAGUUUUGGUAACGUGGGGGGAUUUAAUUUCAGAUUUGAGACAUCACAUGUCAUGUCUUUGAUAAUAAUAAUUUGGUUUUACGGUUUUGGAGUCUUGUGCCUAACAAACGUGCACAUAUCGUUGAGUUGAAAUUACCUUUCUGCAGGUACAGAUGCUGUCGUUGCUCUUCUCUUUGUUUUUUUAUAAAGAAACUUUCUUUUCCUUGAAUUCUUUCAUAUAAAACUGCUCGUCCAAGUAGCAUCACAAAGAACAAGUGUUAGCCUUAUAUCACUUCUAGGUCAAUUUAUGCAUCAGUAAUUGAGCAAAAUAUAUGGCUAUACUUAUUAUGAGCCUCAUUUGUGGAAACAAGCAGGCAGAGGCCAUUUCAUAAUCAAUUCCCAUUCACACUAUAUCAUCUCGUGCUCUUAUAAGUUUGCAUGAUUCUGACUGCAUGGCUCUUCAAUGGUACACUUCCUUGUGUCCUCUCCUGCCCUCUUGCUUUAUAUAGGGCGAACCCCACAUACCCACUCUCUACUAAAUUUGCUCUAGGCCGUCCGGUACCAAUCAUUUCUUUCCAUUCUCUCAUCCAUUAUUUGGAAAUUUUUAUUAAUUGUGAUCGUAACACUAUUUUAUAAUCAGGUGCAUAAAUAAUUACUUUUAACUAUUUGAACUAUAAAUUUCUAAUGCUAAAUCACUACUAUUGAAGUGCCGAAAAUUAAACGAGGAACGUCAAAAUCACUAUCCUUUACUUUUUCCACACGCACACUUCAAAUUGUGUUACAAAUUCAGUCAAUUGUUCAUAAAAAAACAACAACAGCAUGAUAAAGAACAGCUUGAUAUGCAAAAGGGUUUCUAGUGGAAGUUGAUUUUUGACUAAAAAGAAUACGGUAUCUUCAUUCAUUGGGGCAUGAAUUUUAAUUUUCACAGGAUUUGGAGACCAAAAUUCCAUGCAUCACAUGGAGAGUGGUGAGGGGGUGGUCCGUUCUGAGGCCAAAUCCGAUUUUGACGACCCACUCCCACGUGGGCUGGUCUUUGGCGCCUGACUCUGGUGGUGGCUUCGGACAGAAUGACAUAAAUACCCUCGUAUGCAUGAUCAGUUGUCCAGUCACCAAAUGACAACAAAAUCACUGCAAGGAUGAUUGGGAUCCCCGGGGGGGCAUCCCCAUAUCAUCUAAGGCCGCGAAAAACGGCCGUCUCUUUCUGCAAAUUUGUCUUGUCCUUUUCGAUCCUAACAGCUGAGGCUGCUCCAUGGAGGAGGGGUAUUUUUGUCUUUUCAUCCUUUCGCCCCUAGGUUAAUUUUGCGUAGAGUAUUUAAUGGGAUAGUCCUUUGAUUGAUGGGAAAUUUUUGGGGUGGACCUCGUCGUCACUCGUUCGGCAUCCCUCGCAAUCACAGGCGUGUCCUCUGCAUUUCAGUCUCAUACGGCCUCAUGUCAGUCGUUCUAUUAACGUAGCGACGGGGGCUUAUGAGAGGUGCCGAACCAAUAUAGGGUUUAGGAAGAACAACCAUGAAAAAUGGCUUUGUUGGAUGAAGUAUUGUUGAACUCAAAGUGAUGUUUUAUGCCAACUUUCUAGCACAUCUUAGAAGUUUGCAUGUUAUUUCUUCUCUUUUUUCUCAUUAUUUAUAAUUUGAUUGUUUUGGUAUUUUUUUCACUUUAAAUCCAAUCCGUCAUGUUGCAAAUUAA
Prunus persica (peach) is the source of this 2279-nucleotide long non-coding RNA. RefSeq lists it as uncharacterized. The transcript has 2 exons. The record is from RefSeq and is a predicted model, not a curated record. Lineage: Eukaryota; Viridiplantae; Streptophyta; Magnoliopsida; Rosales; Rosaceae.